AUGUGACAGAUUAAUGUUUUAAAAUUAAGAUUUAACUAUGAAGUAACUCCUUUAGUA
This 57-nucleotide transfer RNA is filed under the name Yangus sp. 155 GC-2019. RNAcentral's name for it is "tRNA-Leu". The record is from RNAcentral. Lineage: Eukaryota; Metazoa; Arthropoda; Insecta; Hemiptera; Psyllidae.